AUGAAACAUCAAAAAAAUCGAACCGCAGGUUCUGUGACUGGUCCCAUCCAAGACGCGCUCUGGAAAGUCAAAGGCAGCCUGGGGGGCGGGGGGGGGGGGGGGCAGACGCCACCGCGCUCCACCGACCCGCCUCGCCUUCCCGCCCCCGCCCCGGGGCAGCCGGGGUCACCCGGGGUCGCCGCCCGGCCCCCGACACGCUGCCCUCCCGCAGCAGAACGGCCCAGACGGCGGGGGAGGAGGAAGGGGAGGAGGGGAGGAGGGGAGGGGAGGAGGGGAGGGGGCGGGGGAGGAGGGGAGGGGGCGGGGGAGGCGGGGAGGGCCCGACGCCGGACUCCAAGGGAGAAGGGGGAGGAAAGGAAAAAAAAAAAAAAAAGCCACAGCACACCGGAGAGAGAAUUUAUUUGUCUCACACGUGGGGGGGGGGGGGAGGAAAGGAAAAAAAACCUCAAAAGUACAGUUCACCGCGGAUUCCAUGUUCUCAUUCAAAGAGUUUCAAAGUUGAAAGAGAAACUUUUCAUCGCUUCAAGUUCACAUCCUCAGGGCCCCCGGCUGCUGAGGCGCGGACGCUACACUCCGGCCACCGCCGAGCGGAACCGCUCCCGAGCCGGGCCCCCGGGCCCCCCGCCCAGCCCCGCCCCGCCCCGCCGGCCCCGACCCCGCGCCCCCCGCGGCCGCGCCCCCCACCGCCCACCGCCCACCGCCCGGCGCCCGAGUUCCCGCCGCGGCCCGCGGCACGUCACGCCCGGGCAGGCCCGGCUCGCAGCCCCGCCGCCCCGCAGGCCGCCCGCCCGCCCGCCGAGCUCCCGGCCGCGGCCGCCCCCGCCCCCGCCCCCGCGCCCCGCCACACAAAGGGGCGCCCGGCCAUUGUCGUCCGCCGCGCCGAGCGUCACCAGCACUAGCAAGGCAGUAGCUUGCGCAGUUAUCUCCACAGCGGGCAAUGUCACAGCCCGACCAACAGCACAAACUACUACCUCAGCCAGGGCCCUGGUGUCGGGAGGCGGCGCGCCCGGCCGCCGCCAGCCGAGCGGCCGCCGCUCUCCUCCGUCCUUCCUCCGCCGCCACGUCGGCCCCGCCCAGCGCCGCGCGGCCGCGCCCCGGGAGCAGAGGCGGCGCUCGGCUCCGGGAGACCGUCCCCGCCGCCGCCGCCGCCGCCGCCGCCGCCGCCGCGCUCCCCGCUCCGCCCGGAAGUGCCCACAUCCCGCCCGCCCCGGCCCGACGCGAGACGGGAACAAAAGCCCCGUAAAGCGGAGGCCGGGCCGGGCCGGGCGUCCGGGCGGCGGCGGCGGCGGCGGCGGCUCCGCGCGCGAGCACACGCGGCUGCUCCUGUGCGUGCGGCCGAACCAUAGAGACCGCUUAAGGCGGCUCGCGCGCUACUCCCCACCACGUGACCGGCCCGCGCGGCCGCCCCCCGCGCCGCCAUCUUACAUCCGGGGCCCCGCCUCGGCGGCGUUCGACGUGCGGCCCCGAGGCCGCCCCCGGAGGGGGGACCCCAGGUCCACGUCACCGAGGCGCGGGGGCCGCGGGCCGCGCCCCCUCCCGCCCCGCCCCGCCCCGCAGCGAGCUUCGCGGGGCCGGGCGGCGCCCCCGGCUUCUCCCGGUGUCUGCCCGCAAGGAAAAUGGCGGCCCUCCGCGCCGUCGAAGUGGACACGUCGCGCUGCGGCCCCAGCUCGGAGCUUCCGGCGCCUCCGCGCCCCGCGGCUGCCCCCGAGCCGCACGGUCCUUCGUGCGGGGGAAGCCGGCGGGGACGCGCGGCCCGGCCUGCGGCGCAGACUCCCGGGGCCGCUGGGGCAGGCAGGUGACUUCGCGCCUCGCGGAGGCGAAGCGAGAUCGGCCCGGCGUGACGCAGAGCGCCCGGUGGCUGGCUGGACACCGUCCUUUCGUUGCGGUUCUGUACACAAUUUCACGAAGAACUUGUUUUCAAAUUACCACAAACCCCUCCUGACACGAUUCGAAGUAUUUGUUUUUGUGCAUGCACAGAACACACUUGCAGUGAAACCCUUUCCCUGA
RNAcentral lists this long non-coding RNA (2007 nucleotides) under Canis lupus familiaris (dog). RNAcentral describes it as "lncRNA (ENSCAFG00030003951.1)". The record is from RNAcentral. Lineage: Eukaryota; Metazoa; Chordata; Mammalia; Carnivora; Canidae.